Molecule: ribosomal RNA, 403 nt
Filed under: Bacteroidota bacterium
Lineage: Bacteria; Pseudomonadati; Bacteroidota
Description: Bacteroidetes bacterium partial 16S ribosomal RNA
Rfam family: Bacterial small subunit ribosomal RNA
Source: RNAcentral
UGGGGAAUAUUGCACAAUGGAGGGAACUCUGAUGCAGCGACGCCGCGUGAACGAAGAAGGCUUUCGAGUCGUAAAGUUCUUUUAUAUGGGAAGAUAAUGACGGUACCAUAAGAAAAAGCCCCGGCUAACUACGUGCCAGCAGCCGCGGUAAUACGUAAGGUCCGAGCGUUGUCCGGAAUCAUUGGGCGUAAAGGGUACGUAGGCGGGUAAGCAAGUUAGAAGUGAAAUCCUAUAGCUCAACUAUAGUAAGCUUUUAAAACUGCUCAUCUUGAGGUAUGGAAGGGAAAGUGGAAUUCCUAGUGUAGCGGUGAAAUGCGCAGAUAUUAGGAGGAAUACCGGUGGCGAAGGCGACAUUCUGGCCAUAUCCUGACGCUGAGGUACGAAAGCGUGGGUAGCAAACAGG